AUCGCUUCUCGGCCUUUUGGCUAAGAUCAAGUGCAAUCUUUAGCACCAUGUAAAAAUUACUGAAUGAAAUAAAGGUAUUAAAAAUAAUUUAAGGGCUGGAUUGUGGCUCAGAGGUACAGCACUUGCCUACAAUGUGUGAGGUACUGGGUUUGAUUCUCAGCACCACAUAAAAAAU
RNAcentral lists this small nuclear RNA (175 nucleotides) under Marmota monax (woodchuck). Its description in RNAcentral is "U2 spliceosomal RNA". It matches the Rfam family "U2 spliceosomal RNA". From Rfam's summary of the family: U2 is a small nuclear RNA (snRNA) component of the spliceosome (involved in pre-mRNA splicing). Complementary binding between U2 snRNA (in an area lying towards the 5' end but 3' to hairpin I) and the branchpoint sequence (BPS) of the intron results the bulging out of an unpaired adenosine, on the BPS, which initiates a nucleophilic attack at the intronic 5' splice site, thus starting the first of two transesterification reactions that mediate splicing. Lineage: Eukaryota; Metazoa; Chordata; Mammalia; Rodentia; Sciuridae. The record is from Rfam by way of RNAcentral.